This 618-nucleotide long non-coding RNA is filed under the name Hordeum vulgare. Its description in RNAcentral is "long non-coding RNA (HVUL_LNC001710)". Lineage: Eukaryota; Viridiplantae; Streptophyta; Magnoliopsida; Poales; Poaceae. The record is from RNAcentral.
UGUACACAUGCUCUAUGAGUCACUGAGGAGUUUGAGCUAUCUGAUGAAUAUUGACCCCUAAAAAUGUAUGUCUUCGGCUGAAGACUUUGGUCUUUCCUUGAAGACUUUGAUCGCGAAGAAAUUGUGAUGAAAUUGAUAUUCCUCAUGAAGACAUUGAAGAUGAGGAAUUCGGUGUGUCCUGAAAAAAACACUCUGAAGACUUUGAAGCGUGAAGAUUUACUCUUUCUGUUUCAUUUCUUUACACUUGAGUCAUAGGAACACCGUACUGUUAAAGGGGGUCGAGGUAAAACUAUGGAAUGAUUUUCCUCAUGAUGCUCAACCCAAGCCUAAAUCUACCAAAGCCUCAAAGUGAGGAAUAUGAGAGACAUGAGGACUUUCACAGUUGAAAGUUCCGACUGUUGCCGCGCCAUGCGCCACCUCACCGAUUUUAUCCACCCAACGAUCAUAUUAUUAAAGGGCAUUUAUGUCAAAUCAUGUCAGGAUGCUCCCAGGUUAUAAAUAGCCACCCCCAGAACCACUAGCUGGUUGGCUGCUCCGAGAGAAACUGACACUUGUCAUUAAGAGCAACCCAAAUUCCUCAGAGUCUUCAAGAGAAAAUCAUCAAGUGAGGAAAUGCCC